Molecule: ribosomal RNA, 407 nt
Filed under: uncultured bacterium
Lineage: Bacteria
Description: partial 16S ribosomal RNA
Rfam family: Bacterial small subunit ribosomal RNA
Source: RNAcentral
AUUGAACGCUGGCGGCAGGCCUAACACAUGCAAGUCGAACGGAGAGGCGGACGGGUGAGUAAUGACUAGGAAUCUGCCUGGUAGUGGGGGAUGACGUCCGGAAACGGGCGCUAAUCCCGCAUACUAUCAGAUGAGCCUGGGUCGGAUUAGCUAGUUGGUGGGGUAAGGGCCUACCAAGGCGACGGUCCGUAACUGGUCUGAGAGGAUGAUUAGUCACACUGGAACGGAGACACGGUCCAGACUCCUACGGUAGGCAGCAGUGGGGAAUAUUGGACAAUGGGCGAAAGCCUGAUCCAGCCAUGCCGCGUGUAUGAAGAAGGCCUUCGGGUUGUAAAGUACUUUCAGCGGGGAGGCGUUACCCGCAGAAGAAGCACCGGCUAACUCCGUGCCAGCAGCCGCGGUAAUUC